UUAAGUGAAGAGACUUAAAUAAAAUUGAAAGACAAGAAGACCCUAUAGAGCUUUAUUUUAACUAUAAACUUAUUAUACUAAAAUUCGGUUGGGGCGACCUAGGAACAUUAAACAUCCUAAAAUUUAUAAGAUUAAUUCAUUCUUUUUAGAUCCAAUAUUUGAUCACUAGAUUAAGUUACCUUAGGGAUAACAGGCUAAUAAUUUUUUAGAGUUCUUAUCAACAAAAUUGUUUGGCACCUCGAUGUUGGCUUAAGGAACCACCAUGACGCAGAAGUCAUAGAUGGAGGUUUCAACCUAUGAAUCCUUACAUGAGCUGAGUUCAGACCGGCGUGAGCCAGGUUAGAUUCUAUCUUCAAU
Molecule: non-coding RNA, 357 nt
Filed under: Helobdella robusta
Lineage: Eukaryota; Metazoa; Annelida; Clitellata; Rhynchobdellida; Glossiphoniidae
Description: Bacterial large subunit ribosomal RNA
Rfam family: Bacterial large subunit ribosomal RNA
Source: Rfam by way of RNAcentral